GCUUGGUCCUAGCUUUACUAACAACUACUACUCAACUUACACAUGCAAGCAUCCACACCCCAGUGAAAACACCCUCGCCCCCUCUAACAGGAAGAGGAGUUGGUAUCAGGCACAAGCAUUCAGCCCACAACACCUAGCCACGCCACGCCCCCAAGGGACUUCAGCAGUGAUAAACAUUACUUAUUAGCGCCAGCUUGAUUUAGUCAGAGUAAGCAGAGCCGGCUAAUUCGGUGCCAGCCGCCGCGGCUACCCCGUUGGCUCAAGUUGCUGUUAUCGGCGUUAAGCGUGGUUAAAGUUAUACCAAUAACAGAGUCAAACCUAAGCCAAGUUGUUAUGCGCCUGAUUACAGGAAGCCCACAAACGAAAGAUACUCUCUACCUCUUGAACCCACGACAACUGGAACACAAACUGGGAUUAGACACCCCACUAUGCCAGCCGUAAAACAUUCACCCACACCUUUAAUCGCCAGGGAAUUACGAGCCCCACUUAAAACCCAAAGGACUUGACGGUGUCCCAACCACCUAGAGGAGCCUGUUCUAUAAUCGAUACCCCACGAUACACCUCACCACCCCUAGCAUUCUCAGUCUGUAUACCUCCGUCGUAAGCUUACCUUAUGAACGCCACAGUAAGCCAAAAGAUUUACCACCAACAUGUCAGGUCAAGGUGCAACUAAUGGAGUGGAAAGCAAUGGGCUACAAUUUCUAUGAUAGAACAUACAACAACUGCAUGAAAUACAGCGCCAAGGCGGAUUUAGAAGUAAAAAGAAAAUAGAGAGUCCUUUUUAACUUGGCCCUGGGACGCGUACACACCGCCCGUCACCCUCCUCGCCCUAAGAGGAGGCAAGUCGUAACACGGUAAGCGUACUGGAAGGUGCGCUUGGAUAUAACAAAAUGUAGCUUAACUAAAGCAUCCCGCUUACACCGAGACAGAUGUCAAUAAACUUGACCAUUCUGAGCCCAAGCCCUAGCCCCACUCCACCCCAAUCUGCCACAACAAACAAACAAAACAUUUUAUCAUCUAGUAGCGGCGAUUAAAAAAUUUAUAGGAGCUAUAUAAACAGUACCGCAAGGGAAACGUGAAAUAAUAGUGAAAACCUAAAGCAAGCCACAGCAAAGAUUAACCCUUGUACCUUUUGCAUCAUGGUCUAGCUAGUCUAACCAAGCAAAACGCACUUAAAGUUUGACCCCCCGAAACUAGGCGAGCUACUCUAAAACAGCCCACAGAGCCAACCCACCCCUGUUGCAAAAGGGCGGGAAGAUUUUAAAGUAGCGGUGACACACCUACCGAGCCCAGAGAUAGCUGGUUAUUCAAAAGACGAAUCUAAGUUCAACUUUAAGCCUCACAAGUAACACCAAACGACCUACAAGCUUAAAAGCCAUUCAAAUAAGGUACAGCCUACUUGAACAAGGAGACAACCUAUAACUCAGGGUAAUGAAACCCCAACCGUGACAAAGUGGGCCUAAAAGCAGCCAACUUCCAAAAAGCGUCCAAGCCUCACCACGCCCGCCAUUAAUUCCACAAUACACUCAUAACCCCCAAUCAACACUGAAUGAUCCCAUACACUAUGGAAAACAUUAUGCUAGAACUAGUAACAAGAAGACGAACUUCUCCAAAAUGCAAACAUAAGCCAAAAUGAACCCUCACCGACAUUUACCGCUACCACAACCCGCAGUAUAAACCCGCAAGAAAAUUCUACUACACUAAGCGCUAACCUUACACCAGAGCAUUCCUGGAAAGAUUAAAAGGGGGGGAAGGAACUCGGCAAACACCAGCCCCGCCUGUUUACCAAAAACAUCGCCUCUUGCCAAACAUAAGAGGUCCAGCCUGCCCAGUGACUAAAAAGUUAAACGGCCGCGGUACCCUAACCGUGCAAAGGUAGCACAAUCACUUGUUCUAUAAAUCAGGACUAGUAUGAACGGCCCCACGAGGGCUACGCUGUCUCCCCCCCCCAAUCAGUGAAACUGAUCUCCUCGUGAAGAAGCGAGGAUAACCCCACAAGACGAGAAGACCCCAUGGAACUUUAAACUAGUGCCACUAUUUCUAACUCACACCACACCAACAAAACACAUGACCACUAGUCUUUUGGCUGGGGCGGCCACGGAGAAAAACGAAACCCCCGAGAUGAGACCCCUUAUCCCAGAACUACUAUUCCAAGAAUCAACAAAUGACAUAAUUGACCCAAUAAUUUACCCAAUAAUUGACCAACGAACCAAGCUACCCUGGGGAUAACAGCGCAAUCCAUUUCAAGAGACCCCAUCGACAAAUGGGCUUACGACCUCGAUGUUGGAUCAGGGUAUCCUGGCGGGNCAGC
This 2311-nucleotide non-coding RNA is filed under the name Stumpffia diutissima. Its description in RNAcentral is "partial contains 12S ribosomal RNA, tRNA-Val, and 16S ribosomal RNA". The stretch from base 1968 to 2311 matches the Rfam family "Bacterial large subunit ribosomal RNA", at positions 2048 to 2559 of the family's 2925-position model. The record is from RNAcentral. Lineage: Eukaryota; Metazoa; Chordata; Amphibia; Anura; Microhylidae.